AACGAACGCUGGCGGCAUGCCUAACACAUGCAAGUCGAACGAGACCUUCGGGUCUAGUGGCGCACGGGUGCGUAACGCGGGGGAAUCUGCCCUUGGGUUCGGAAUAACAGUUGGAAACGACUGCUAAUACCGGAUGAUGACGUAAGUCCAAAGAUUUAUCGCCCAGGGAUGAGCCCGCGUAGGAUUAGCUAGUUGGUGGGGUAAAGGCCUACCAAGGCGACGAUCCUUAGCUGGGCUGAGAGGCUGAUCAGCCACACUGGGACUGAGACACGGCCCAGACUCCUACGGGAGGCAGCAGUGGGGAAUAUUGGACAAUGGGCGAAAGCCUGAUCCAGCACUGCCGCGUGAGUGAUGAAGGCCUUAGGGUUGUACAGCUCUUUUACCCGGGAUGAUAAUGACAGUACCGGGAGAAUAAGCCCCGGCUAACUCCGUG
Molecule: ribosomal RNA, 433 nt
Filed under: uncultured bacterium
Lineage: Bacteria
Description: partial 16S ribosomal RNA
Rfam family: Bacterial small subunit ribosomal RNA
Source: RNAcentral